RNAcentral lists this long non-coding RNA (215 nucleotides) under Panax ginseng (ginseng). RNAcentral's name for it is "long non-coding RNA (PGIN_LNC015607)". The record is from RNAcentral. Lineage: Eukaryota; Viridiplantae; Streptophyta; Magnoliopsida; Apiales; Araliaceae.
ACAACCAGGCCGUUCCUAGGAAAGAGGGGGCUUUCCAAUAAGAAUUUCUCCUUACUGGCGCGCAAUUAGGUGACCAAACCUCUCUUUGACAGAACUUUCUAGACAUUGCCAAUAAUGCUAUCUAAUAAUAUUAUUCAAAUAAUAUGAAUUAUUGAUCUGAUAAUGGAAAAUACUGUGCAGUGAUAAUUAUUGAAACAACAAUAAUAUAAAAUAUC